GGUUGAGGCUCAGUGGUAGAGUGCUUGCAUCGCAUGCAUGAAGCACUGGGUUCAAUCCCUGGCACCA
This 67-nucleotide transfer RNA is filed under the name Marmota monax (woodchuck). RNAcentral's name for it is "tRNA.Ala". Lineage: Eukaryota; Metazoa; Chordata; Mammalia; Rodentia; Sciuridae. The record is from RNAcentral.